GCGAAAGCUGUUUUCCUCUUUACAAGGAUGGACGAAUGUUCGAAGCAGCGCAGAAAGACUGUGGGGUCCGCUCCACCCCGCAGGGACCACCUCCAGGGCGGGAGCCAGCCGAGGUGGUGGGGAAGGCAGGGUCCAUCCCACCCACCUUCCAGGCCAGAGGCCACCAGCUCACCAAGGGAUCCUGACCACUGAGACAGCCACGGUAUGCUAGGCAGGUUCAUGACUGUGUGUCCCUCUCUCCAGUGCUGAGCACCAGCCUCUUGUCCGGCCCCUCCACCCUUCUGUCUCUGUCUCCCUCCCUCCUCCUUCU
Molecule: long non-coding RNA, 310 nt
Filed under: Equus caballus (horse)
Lineage: Eukaryota; Metazoa; Chordata; Mammalia; Perissodactyla; Equidae
Description: lncRNA (ENSECAG00000051683.1)
Source: RNAcentral